UACGACUACAUAUCAGGCAUAUCAAUAAGCGGAGGAAAAGAAACUAACAAGGAUUCCCUUAGUAACGGCGAGUGAAGCGGGAAGAGCUCAAAUCUGAAAUCUUCAAGGUUCUACCUUGACGAAUUGUAGUUUAAAGAAGUGUUUUCUGUUAGUGGAGUGGCAAAAGUUCUCUGGAAUAGGACAUCAUAGAGGGUGAGAAUCCCGUAUUUGGUCAUUCCUUCUAGCUUUGUGAUACACUUUCAAAGAGUCGGAUUGUUUGGGAAUGCAGUCCAAAAUGGGUGGUAAAUUUCAUCUAAAGCUAAAUAUUGGCGAGAGACCGAUAGCGAACAAGUACCGUGAGGGAAAGAUGAAAAGAACUUUGAAAAGAGAGUUAAACAGUACGUGAAAUUGUCAAAAGGGAAGCGUUUGACACCAGUGUUGUUUUUCCGAAAAUCAAUUACGAAUGGCGGGAUUCUAAGUUUCAUGACCUUGAAAGCUUGUUUCUUUCUUUUCCUGUCUUUCUUAAUGCACUUUUCGGUUAACGAGUCAACAUCAAUUUCUUUUGUUGUAAAAGGGUAUUUGGAAGGUGGCUUUCUUUUCGGAGAAAGUGUUUAUAGCCUUAUACCUCUACAAUCGGAGAGAUUGAGGUCUGCAGCGUAGAUCCUUCGGGGUUAGAUACAUUGGUGCUAAGCUAUAGCCUUGUAUAGACAACUUGUUGACUAUGCUCAGUCAUGUAGCUUACUCGCUGAUGCUAUUUUACCUACGCUUAGGAUGUUGAUCUACAGAGCGAGAGU
RNAcentral lists this ribosomal RNA (773 nucleotides) under uncultured Neocallimastigales. RNAcentral's name for it is "partial large subunit ribosomal RNA". It matches the Rfam family "Eukaryotic large subunit ribosomal RNA", at positions 24 to 630 of the family's 3401-position model. The record is from RNAcentral. Lineage: Eukaryota; Fungi; Neocallimastigomycota; Neocallimastigomycetes; Neocallimastigales.